Molecule: long non-coding RNA, 12123 nt
Filed under: Pan troglodytes (chimpanzee)
Lineage: Eukaryota; Metazoa; Chordata; Mammalia; Primates; Hominidae
Description: long non-coding RNA NONPTRT003293
Source: RNAcentral
AUCGGAUGGUGCCCUGAGGGACACUUUGUUUCUGAACCUCAGCCUGAGCACUUGUUACAGAGAUGGAGAACCAUGGGACGCGGAGGACAGGGGGCUCCCAGCUCAGCUUUGCUUCUUUCUACCCGGCUGGAGUGGCAAGACAACAGCCAUUAUUGCUGACCAGCAAGCCUCUUAACCCUGCUGAGCCUCAAUUUCCUCACCUGUAAAAUGGGGGAAAUACCUUUUUGUUGGAGUAACUGCAAGCGAAUGUACUGACGGCAAGUAACACGUUCUAAGUGCACAGUCGGCCCUCAGUAAGUACAAGGCAUUCGCCAGACACCCCGCAGGUGGCCCUGCCUGGAGGGCUCCCGGGGUUGAGGCUAGACUGUCGGGGAGUGUGGAGGGGGAAAGAGAAGAAUGGGCACACACACUUCAUCCCCUCCCCCAAGGCCAGGUUCCAUCCCUGUCCACUCCCUGCCUCCCACCAACACUCGUCAUGCGGGGGACACAGGGAUGGACGUACCCUUCUGUCUUGGUGUCUGCCCCUUAGGGAACGGUGGCAUGGCAUGUGCAGGGUGUGGACGUGCUGGCCUGAGCUGUGUGGGAUCCCAGUACCUGUUGCUUCUCUGCCCGGGCCCUGGUGGGCAGGAGGCUUUUGCCCUAUACAGGACUGGUGAUGACUUUCCACAGGCAUGUCCUCUCUCUCCAAGGAACUCAAGACUGCUGGCCUCCAAGCAGGGGCCCGGGAGGACCUGCCCUGGGCAUCCAUCUCCACCCUGGGCAGCAGGAGGGCUACACCCAGCUGGGGCUGCAUCCUGGGCUCUGGACUCCAGCCAUUGUGCAUUCCUAGGCAGAACCUGCCCUGUCUUGGGCCUCUGUUUCCUCCAACCCUGUCUCAUCUCCCAGGCUGCUGGCCUGGACAUGGAGGUCGUAUUUCCAAGAAGCUCUGGGCUGUCCUACCACUUUCUGCAGCUUGGACCAGCCAAUCUCCCCAAUGGAAAUCUGGGCUGGACAACCGCCAGCGCAGGAAUCACAGCUAAUCCUGCCCCCAGUCAGGCUGGCCCAACCCAACACAUGGGGCUGGGGCCGACGGGGCAGGCUCUCCUGGGCUGCCACCUUUGUCUCCCAUCCCUGCCAGGGCAGACAGGUCAAGCCAUAGCCCUCCUACCCACUGCUGCCUCUCUUGGUGCCCCACCAGGAAGAACAAGACCCUGGCCCAGCACGCUCCCUCUUUCUCAGCUCUCAGUCUGUAGGUCUUGUCAGUUGAUAUGCAGCACUUCAGAGCUCUUGGGAGUCACGAUCAGUUUUCGGUGAUCUGCACGAAGCCCAGCUUGGAGGGCAGCAAGGAUAAUCACGUCACACUGUUUCUCUUGGCCGUGGAGCCGUCAUUUCUGGGAAAGCUGGUUUUCCUUUUAAUGAGUUCACAUUGGCCACCCCAGGCCUUUCUAGGCAGAGGAGAUAAACCAGCCCAGCCUCUCAGUAGCCCCUGGGGAAUCCUCACAGUAGAGGCGGCAAUCUGCCCCGAGAGGCUGGCUUUCUCUCUGUCCACGUGGGCACUUCCCGCUCUGAGGAUACAGUUUCUGGACAGCUUAGGGCUGUGUUUGUGACCGCAGUGAGGGGCCUUCAGGUCACUCCUGUGUACGGGAGCAAGCACACCCCUCCUCAGGGCCAGCCCAGGUCAGCAAGGGCUGUGCUCAGCAGGCUGGGAGCUGGAACAUGUGGAGAGACCAGGUGUGACCUCUCCCAGCCUCGGCCUUCGCAUCACAAGGCGCUGUGCUUCAUGGGGGAAGAGGGCCCACCUCUGGGGAGAAGUGCAGGACCUGGGAGGUAUGGAGGCCAGGCGUGGGGUUCCCGUGUUAUGCUCAAGGUGCCCACUUGUAAUAGCCAUUUGGGGGGGUACCUAUGGUUGUUGCAAAAGUUGAUACCUAUCCUUCAUGAGACUGCCAGCAUGAAUACUCUGUAUUUCCUAGGAUUUCCGCUCUGUUCUCCCUUAGCAUUUGGGAAAGUUCUUCCUGAAAACUCCCUGCCUAAUUCAAGACAGAUGCAAGAGAGGACCAAAGGAAGGGACUCUAUCCAGCCUGGGACAGGUGGAAAAGGGAAGCAGAGCGAGACUCUCUGGAAGCAGCACGGUGGUGGCCCCAGGGUUGGGGAGAGGGGGCCCCAGGAAAAGUGAGGUUCGGGCAGAUCCCCUGUAUUCAGAGCUGCCCCUUCUCAGCCCUCCAACUCUGCAGGGCCUGUGAUUUAGUCCACCCUGGGAUGAGUUUUACACCCACCAACAUUAAGAGCUGAAGAUAGUUUUGAAACCAGGCAUGCCUCAGCUGGGCGAAGUGGCUCACAUCUGUAACCCCAGUACUAUAGGAGGCCAGGGUGGGAGGAUGGCUUGAGCCCAGGAGUUUGAGGCCAGCCUGGGCAACAUAGGGAGACCCCAUCUCUACAAAAAGUUUAAAAAAUUAACCAGGUGUGGUGGUGCCUGCCUAUCAUCCCAGCUGGUCAGCAGGCUGAGCUGGGAGGAUCGCUUGAGCCUGGGAGGUCAAGGCUGCAGUGAGCCCUGGUCACGCCACUACCCUCCAGCCUGGAUGAGAGAGCAAGACCCUGCCUCAAAAACAAAAACAAAAAACCCACUGGCAUUCCUGAGAAUCAGGCCCCAGACCAGGAGAUCCCCGAGGGGCAUAUUACUAUAGAGGCCGGGGCUUGGGGCCAGGGUCUCCCAGAGGGAUUUCUCCUGGGAAAGCCACUAGGCAGGGUGCAGGGCUCUGCUCCUGGUGCAGCAUGUGCUAGUGUGGCCAGCAUACCCCACAUCCCUGCCCUGGCAGCUCCACCCAGCCUGUGGCUGCCCUGUCUCUGGCCUCCCCACCUCCAGGCCCUGCAGGAAGGAGUGAGGCCAGCAGGACACGGCUUUCCAGGGGCUGGACACAGAGGAGGGGGCAUCUGUGGCCCUAGUGGAGCUGGUGCUAAUGCUGCAGGCCUGGCAGGUGGAUGUGGCGCCUGUCCUUCGAAGGGCAGUUGGCAGGGGACGCAGUUGACCAUGUGUAAAAAUGUCGCUGGAGCCUCGGUGCAAGCAGCAGAUGAGACCCAUCCUGCAGGUGGAGAGGGCAAAGGAGCAAAGAGAGAUCAGAACUCCCUGAGGCUGUCAGCCAUCAGGGCUCUGGAGCAGUGCUGCUCAUGCCCAGUGCACAUGUGAGUCCCCUGGGGCCUGGAGAAAGGGCAGCUUCCCGCUUAGGUUGGGGUGGGGGCUGCAGUUCCACACUUCUAACAAGCUCCCAGGUGAUGCCCGUGAAAGUGGGGGAGUCGCACUCCGAGAACUACUGUCCAAGAGCAGGGCGUCACGCACUUUAAUGGACAUAAACCACCCGGGGACCCCCUUAUUACAAGUUUGCAGGCCUGGGUGGGGGCCUAAGGGUCUUCGUUCCUAACAAGCUCCCCGUCGAUGCUGUGGGUCUGUGGUCCUAGGGCUUCUCCAGAAAUGGCCUAGUUUAAUGAGAUCCCGAGUAUUUCUGCUCCCUCAUCAGAGCUGUCUGAAGCCGCCUUCUUCUCUGGGAAACGGCCUGUAUUUUGCUGCCCUCAGACUCCAGAACAAAACUCAGGUCCGUUAUGGAUGCUCUGCCAUGUGCAAGAGCCAUGGGGGAAACGGAGACUCUGGGAGGAGCCCCUAGAGCUGUCACCAGCUCUGACAAUGAGCGCAGAAGGCAGCGCCAAGCCCAGCCGCAGGAGUCCCGCCUGCCAGCCCCUCUGUCGGCAACCAGGGGCCGAACAGGAAGGGGCUGGAGCAUCCUGCCCAAAGCACGCGCAGGCUUGGGAAGGUCGCUGUCCGCCCCGUCUCACUUCCCAUUUCUAAAACACAGAGGACCUUUAUUCUCCCACCUUGCUCUUCAUGGACACCCCCCGCCCCCCGCCACCUUCUUCUUCCUCUCCUCCCUCCCACUCAAGGAUGCACUGGGAUAAUGUCAUCAUGAUCCUGAUGAUGAUGAUGACCUGUUGUCAGGUCUCGACUCUGUCUGCAGGAGAGGGGCACUGGGCUAGAGCAGCCCCGUGAAUGUCCCGUGCCACCUGGGGUGACAGUAGAUUCCCCUAAGUAUAGAAACAACACCCCGACUUUCCCCAAUGUUUCCAGCUGCUGCUGCUGCCCUGACCUUGCGAAUCUGGAUGUAGAGGGCAGGCUGGUGGAGGUGCCUGUGGGCCGUACCCACUUGUCUCUCAGCAAGGCUAGUGAAGAAGGUAGCUUCUUCCCCUCCUCUCCUCUCCAUCCCUCCGAACCUGGAGGGCAGCAGGGAGUGUGACCACUGCCUUCAGCUUGGAGACUCGGUGCUGAGGGCUCUGUUAAUCCACCUCGGGGCCUCAGGGUCACAGCUGAAAUGUGGCUUAGGAGGUUAUUUCACGUCCCACUAGCUUAAGCAAGUGGCUGUCACGGCCCCUCCACCCACGCAGGUGUUAUGCAGCAUGCCCUCUUCCCCUGUCCCCACCUCAUGGGUUGAUGAUUUUCCUGUGCACUUUCUGGAUCUUUCUGAUCCAUGCUAAGGGGGAGGCCAGAAGGGAGCUGUUAGGCCAGCACAGAUUUGUGCUGUAAGCGAAAUUCACGUCUCCUACAGUGUACAUCUCAUGCUGGGGGAGGACAGGAGGAGCUAGGCUCUCAAGAGACACACUUCUGCAUGACAUGUGUGUUCCCAGGGUGCUCCCAGGAGAGGUCCAAUAAGGGUGGAGGUGUAUGGGCCAGACUCAUCAAUGUGGGUCCACAUGCACACACACACGCGCACACCCCCACCCUGAAUCGUGCAGAGGGCACAGGAUACUGACCCACCAGAUCCCUGAGUAAGCAUCAGCAUCUCUCUCCUGACAGAAGACGCGAAGAAACCAGCACGGAAUGGCUCCAGGCAGCCAGCAGGGGGCGAGCAGAGACAAGACAGGACAAGUUCCCUGCAGGUGCUGGAGAAGGCCGACCGGGUCGGGCCGGGCCCUGGGGCCCAGCUGCAUGGUGUCUGGUGCUUUUUUUCGGCAGCUGCCUGGGUGUGGCACUCGGCCACACGUGGGACAUUUUUUUAACAGGGAAGUCGUCAUGCCUUCAGCUUCUUAUGAGGUUUCUGAGUCAGCUCCUGGCUGUCAUCAGAGAACACGAAGGAAGGGCCAGGGAAGUUCCAGGAAGUCAUUCCAAAGUGAUUGCUUGGUUUCCCUUUUCACCACCUGCAGAUCCCAACACUCCAGGAUGGUGCAGGACAUCAGUCUCAAGGUAACUGGUCACAGAGGUGAGAACCUUACUGAAAAAUCAGAAUGUGAACCCUGGAAGGUUCCUGAAAGAUGAGCUAGACGGUUUUGAAACUGUAUUGGGAAUCCCAAGUGUAGCUCAAGGCUACUGGUCUUCGAGGUACCAGGCUGGGUAUGUCGGGGAGGUAGGUGCCUGGUGUCUGCCUGCUGGCGACGAUGACUGCGAGCCCUUUCUCAAGACUUCGGCCCACCUGGGACUUGGGCAACGUAGUGCCCAGCAUCGGCCGCCAGAGGGCGCUCUGACCUGAGACUUGGCGGCCGCAGGGCUGGCUCAGUGGACCGCAGGGGAGAAAACAGGGCAAGGGGUUGAGCCCAUCAGGAGCCAUUCCACAGUGACCAUGGAGGAGCAGAGACUGCAUGGUGGGGGUUGUGAGUGGGGAGAAAGCGUCCACUGCCCAACGACCUGGUCUCCUCGGCAUCAGACUUACACAGCAGCUCCAUCCACCUUGACCUUAGGGCUCAGGGCAUCUGCAGCCCUACUGCCGGCCCUCGGCCUCACUGCCCUCAUCUGGCAGCUUCUAUGGGCUCUCGGGGCUGGAGAGGUCAGGAAGAAAUAGACAGAGUGGGCCAGGCUUGGUCGGAGUCCAUACAGAGCAGGCCCCCUCUGCACGGGGAGUCACAGGUUUCUGGAAACCUCAGCUGAGCCUGGUGCAGUGGCACAGAGCAGCCCUGCCCCAGUUCCCAGUGGUGACUCCUCUGGGGUUCAGCACAUGGGACAGAAGACCUGCCCUGGGGAGGUGCAAGAGAGCGGCAAUGCUAACGCCUCCUGGGCUCCCUGGCCCUGCAGGCAUCUUCCUUCGUGUUCUCUGGGGGAGAGACUGACUGUGGGAAUCAACCUUGGUUGCAAAGGGAAGCUGAGAGAAGAGAGCAGCGCAGGGCACGGACAUGCCAGCCCAGUUACUGGAGAUAUCUGCCGCUGGAGACGGGUUCAGAGCCUAGUUUAAUAUCCCGAGAGGCACAAAUGGAAGAUCCGAGGAGCCAGGAACGGAACACGGACAGAAGCAUGCACGGCCUUGUGCGCUGUGCCUGCCUGGGAGGGCAGCUCUGUGGCAGGAGGCUGCUCACCUGGACACAGGAAGGAUCAGGGAAGCCCGUACUGCUCCAGCUCACAUCCUCACGGGACCUGGAGGCUGGAGAGGGAAUUCCAGGAGUCCAGAUUUCUGAUGCCAAGCUGAUCAUCGUCUCAGCACCAGCAAAGACAUGCUAUUCCCGUCCCUGACGAGCAUUUCCUUCUUGAGAAAGUGAUUUUGAGGGGCUGCAGAUGUACUUGGAGGAAGGUUUGGGCCGGGACAGAUGACGUGCCCACGUGGGAGCUGGACGGCCCCUCUCUGGGUAGCUCCCUGGGAACUCCCAUGUCCGCCUCCCACUGCCUCCUGAUCCAAGGUGGAUGCACUUCAUUCGAGGCCUGGUCUUUCAUCCUUCCCUCUCCUCUUCGGGGACCACUUUGUCUAGUGCUAGACUCAUCGUGCUCCCCCCUUGGGGCUUCCUUCAGCCCUCAGCUGAUUCAAGAUUUCAAAAGGAAGUUGGACAUGGAGAGGAAAAAAGAAAUGAAACCGGGAAGGAACCGCCAAGAAGCACACAACGCGUUUAUGCUGCCUUAACCACACGCUUGACUCUAAAUGGGUUUAAAAAUUCCUACUUGUGUUAGCCCAAGAAAGUUUCUGCAGCCGUCUUUUUGGUUUAAACAAUCAAAUGCUCAAUAAUUCUGGGGCUGGUGGGCCAGGAUAUGGGUUACUCAGAUCUUCUGCUUCACCCCAUGCUCGGUCCCUGAGCCAGUUCUGUCAUUGGUUCUUUCACACCAGGGCAGGAAAAGUCAAGAAAGCAAAAGCAGAUUCUAGGCCGUGGGGUUUGCUGUUUGCUAGCCCCCUGGCAGAGAUGCCUGUCCUUGCAGUCCUGAACUGGUGGCCAAGUGUGCAUGCAUGCACGUGCAGGUGUGUGCGUGUGCAGGUGUGCAUGCAUGUAUGUGCGCGCACACAUUCAUGCUUGUACAUGUUUGUGUACAUGCACACUUUUUUCUGCUUUCAAUUUCAAGCUGUUGCCUCCCUGAUGUGUCUGUUUAGUGACUUGAACCAGAAAGAUCCCCGGUUCUAUGUGGGAUGAGAAUGAACACAGGCAGGUCUCCACAGAAGUGAGUAAAGUAGAGCUGAGAAGAAGGACAUUGUCUCAUGCCAGCCUGUCCAAUAGCCACUUUGCCCCAGCCCUGCCUCAAGCCCCAGAGAGAUGACAAGGCUCUCUCUGUUUGUUGACUCCUUGAAGCUCAGAAAGGUGGGUCAAGAGGUGCCCAUCAAGCGUUUAGGCAAGCACAGGACCCUGAUCUUUACUAAGUCUCCACAUCUCUCUUACACAGCCCUGGGCUCAGGGCUUGGUCCCCUCUGGGCAGGCCAUCCAGACUAAGUGACAGUCAGAUUGUGUGUGGGGAGGCUAGAGACAUCCAUUCUUCAUGGAUCAGCCUGAAUGGCUGGACAGAUCGUGCAAAUGGAUUGUGUAAGGCAGAGUGUGGAAGAGGAGGCUGUGAUCAGUGGCUUGGAGAGCAGAGUGUGGUCAGGUGCUAAACCUAAGGCUUUUCUGGGAAGAGCUCUUAAGAUUAGACUGUUCUCCCCAAAAGCCAAUAAUUCUGAGUGUCUCCAUUAAUGCCUAGGUAGCCCAUACUCUCACCCAGCCAGUGCCCUUCAGCCUGGAACCUUUGGAUGGAGGAUUGGACCUUGUGACCUUCAAGUUCCCUUCCAAACCAAAUAUGCUCUAACCCAGGUAUGCUGUUCUUUUCUUAUAUAAUGGGAGCAAGGAGGCACUGGGAUGCCCAAGGCGUCUAGGGUCUCACCAUGACACCCCUGGUCUCCUGCCCUAGUGGUCUGGGCUGGGUCCUGCACAGAGCCCUCUCUUGUCAUCAGCCAGAUCUCCAAGAGCCACGGCUCCACACAGACCUACCCAUAGAUGGACGGCAGGGUGUGCCCUGCACACAUUCAUCCCUGCCCCGCUCAGCUUCCUGUCCCUCUGCCUUCCUUCAGCCUUGGCCCCCAGGAGAAGCAGACUCUUGGAGGCAAUUCCAACAGACUGCAAUUCCCAGUCCAGCUCUGGCCCUUACUUCCUGCACGUCUCAGCCUGGCCUCCUCAUCUGUAAAGCAGGGGUGAAUACUACCUCUUUGGAUGCAGUGGAGUGUGGUGGGCCAUGGUGGGUCAGAGCAUGGGCUUGGAGCUAGACCACAUGCCACUCACCAGCAAUGUGUGUCGCACAUUUGAAAACUUCACAUUUUCCUGCUGCCUCCACAUCCCCAGACACAGGUUGUGUGCACCUGCCUGGGUGACCCAGUGCACUAUUGUCAUGGGGCCGGCUGUGCCACAAGUUCCCCUGACUGUGACCUAGUAACAUUCAAAUGCACUGGUGGAAUUCCCUCGUGUCUGUUUUUGGUGUGCUUCACUCUGAUCCCCGAUAAAAAAGCCUCACCCGCUCUCUGCCCCCCACCUGCUUGGUGGAGCCUGGGCCCUGGGUGCUCCUCCCAUGCGACCCCUCCCAGCGGAGUGUGCAGUGACUCUGUGGGGCCUGUGAGUCUAGGAACAUCUGUUGUCCUGUGCCUCUCCUGUGCCCCCUCUUGCGGCUGCCCCCGAUUGGCCAUUGCCUAAAACAAUCACACACACAGUGUGGUUCUGGACAAAUCACUUCCCUCCCCCUGCCCUCUGUUUCCUCCCCUGUCAAUGCACAUAGUAAGAAUAAGCUGCUCUUUGGGGCACAGAGAGGACCGAGUUGACAUGCGUGAGUGUUGAGAAUGGUGCUUGGCAGAGAGUUCAGAUUAUCGGGACUUUGCAGGUUGCUAUAGUAAGGACAGAGGUAGGUGGCUCUCGGUGAACAGUGGCCAUUUGUGUUCUAAUCAGGCCCCAGGAGGAAUGCAGGGGGCUGUUUCCCCGUGCUGCAGGGACUACUGGCCUUUAAGGGCUCCUCAGAACCAAGGGUCUGGGUCAGAAGAAAGGUUCCAGGUGAGGGCUUCUGCCUUCCCUCUUGUGCUGUCCAGAGGUGAGUCCUGUCCUCCCUCAACAAGAUGACCUGGUGGAAGGAAGGAGGCAGCGGAGACCACGCGGCUUGGCUGCCUGCCUGUGGGCAGACCUCCAGGUGUGAGGGGCGGAAGCUUGGCCUGAAGCCUGAGGCCAAGCUGAAGGCCAAGCCUGCUGAGGGGCACGGAACCAGACAGGACACAGUGGGCUCGCCAACACUGCAGAGGAAAGGGGUUCUCUCUCUGGGCCCAACAGCACUGGUCCCGCAAGCCUCAGGCCCCCUAAGGGCUGGUCGGUGCUGCACAGAGAGUCUCCACCCCAGGCCAUGGUACAUGCCCGGUUCACUGUCCCACCACAUGCCUCCAUCCAGCUAUGUUGGUCAGGUCUAGGAUGUGCCACUCGGCUCUCGGGGACCUCAGCUGAGCGAUCGCAUUGCCCAGGAUGCUGGAAAUCCUCACGAUAGGCCCCAGGCUGGAGGGCUGGGUGGGCGUAUGGCUGGCCCCUGGCACACCAGUCCCCAGUGCUGGAAAAGAGCUCAAAGCCCAUGCCCUGGGGCCUUCACCCUGCAGGCCUAUCACAUCCACUCUCCCAGCGCCCUGGCUGUAGGCUCUCCCUCUCUUCAAAACGGGAGGGCCAUCCUAAAGGCCCGUACACAGGUGCUUCAUAUCCACAGCUGGAAAGUAGGUCGCUGCUGGUGAGAGGCAGCAGGGGACGGUCCACGGGCUUUCGCGGCACCCUUCCUCUGCCACUGGCUCCCUGGGUCACUGUGCAAAAACAGAGGCUGCAAAGUCUGUGGUGGAACCCGGGAAGCCGGAGAAGGAACACGGGGGCCUUUGAGGCUUCUUCCCGCUGCCCGAUUCCUUUCAGGCUUGGCCUGAUUUCUCUUUGAGACUUGGGCUGGUUCUGCCCCUCACACUUCCUUGCUGGUCUGGACAUUUUUCGGCCUCAUCUGUCCUCUUCUUCUCUUCCCACACACUAGGCUUUGACCCUUGGGAGGGGCUGUGGGGUGAAGAGAGGCCCCAGGCAGCAGGGAGCUUGCCUCUGCCAAGAGGGCAUGGAAGUUAGGGAGUUGGGGUCUGCCUGAGUCCUGAGCUGGACUCCAGGCCUCUGGUCCUGCACGUUCCACCCCAGCCUCCCCUCCUGACACUCUGGGCUGCUGCGGAUCUUCCCAGCUUCCCAGGCGGAAGGCUGUCAAGGAGGCUCUGGUGCCUGUAACACCAGCCAUGCACCAGGCGCUCUCCAAACAUUCAGAUCAGUGGGAUCUGAUCAGGCCUCUAGAUCUAACCUCCAGGUGGGCAUGUUAGACAACAUCACGGGGGUGUCACCAGAAAAUCCAGACUGGGAGAAACGUGACAGGACAAAUGACCUGGUUCUUCAGCACAUACAUUGCAAGAGGAGAAAAAAGGAGAGAGAGAGAUUGAUGGUGGAACUUAGAGGCUAAAGGAGACUUAGGAGACCAAUUAACUGAUUUUAACACAUGGACGUAAUUUAGAUUCUGACCCCAAUAACUUUUUUAAAAAGAACAGUUUAUGGGUCAGUUGGGGAGAGCUGAAACUGCCUGCUUAUUUCGUGAUAUUAAGGAAUCAACUGUUAAUAGUUUUUAGGUAUGAUAAUGGUAAUGUCACUAUGUUUUCUGAAAGAGGAUCCUUAAGUUUUAGAGGUACAUACUGAAAUAUUUGUUUUUUAAAUGUUUUAAAAAGUUUAUUGCUCUUUCAGAAAUAUGCUGACAUAUUGACAGAUGAUUUGAUAUCUGGGAUUGCUUCAAAACCAUCCUGGGGUGGGGAGAGGGAGGCAUGGAGGGGAGGGUGCAGGCCAGCGAAUGGAGAUGGACUAUGAAGUGGUAACUGUUGAGCCCUGGGUGAUGGGAAGAUGGAGGUUCAUUAAAGCACUUUUUAAAAUUUUUGCACAUCUUUGAAAAUUGCCAUGAUAAAAUCUGGAAGGAGCAGGAAGAGAAACAGGAAGAGAAAGGAUGAAAGAGAGGGAGAGGAAGACGAGGGGAAAAAGGAGGAGGAGGAGGAAGAGAAGGCAGAGGAAAAGGGAGAAGAAGGAGAGGAAGGAGAAGGGAAGGGAGAAGGGGAAGGAGAGGAAAAGGGAGGAGGAGGAGAGGAAGGAGAAGGGAAGGGAGAAAGAGAAGGCAGAGGAAAAGGGAGGAGGAGGAGAGGAAGGAGAAGGGAAGGGAGAAGCGGAAGGAGAGGAAAAGGGAGGAGGAGGAGAGGAAGGAGAAGGGAAGGGAGAAGCGGAAGGAGAGGAGGGAGAAGAAGGAAGGGGCAGAGGAGAAGGAGAGGGAGGAGGAGAGACAGAUGAGAGGGAGCUGCUACUGCAGCUGCCGAGGCUGGCCUCCUGGCCUGUGUCCUAAGAUCCUGGAGAACACCAGGCUGGAGAGCAGCCACCCCCUCUCUGGCUGUCCCAUGGCCUCAGCCGCUUCCCACUCCAGGACUGGAGCCCUUCUUCCUUGCUGGGGACCUCACUGGGAAAUAGGGUGGUAGUGCAGGGUCCCCCUCCCUGCAGAGCAUGGAGAGGCAGCCCUUCUGCUCCUAGGAGAUGGUGCUGUUGCCCAGGAAGCCGGUCACCAUGACGAGAGUACCCGCUCAGAUGAGGAUGCAGGCGGAGGCAGUGAAGGUGCUGGAGGCCAGGAUGCUGAGGUAGCUGCUCCUCUCCACCAGGGUCCAGAUGCCCAUGGCCAGGACAGCUGCCCCCCUGACCUGCAGGAGACCACCGGGUUGGAGCAGGGGGUGGUGGGGGCCUCAGGAGCUGCCAUUCCUUGAGUGCCUGCUGGGUACCAGGCACUUCUCGUGCAUUGUCUUAUUCAAUUCAGGCCUCCUAAGAGCCUGUGAGAACAGUGUGGUGGCCUAGCUUUACAGAUGAGGAAACGGAGGCUGAGAGAAGUUUGCAGGCUUGUCCAAG